GGCUCAGGACGAACGCUGGCGGCGUGCUUAACACAUGCAAGUCGAACGAUGAAGCCCUUCGGGGUGGAUUAGUGGCGAACGGGUGAGUAACACGUGGGCAAUCUGCCCUUCACUCUGGGACAAGCCCUGGAAACGGGGUCUAAUACCGGAUAAUACUUUCUCCCUCCUGGGAGAAGGUUGAAAGCUCCGGCGGUGAAGGAUGAGCCCGCGGCCUAUCAGCUAGUUGGUGGGGUAAUGGCCUACCAAGGCGACGACGGGUAGCCGGCCUGAGAGGGCGACCGGCCACACUGGGACUGAGACACGGCCCAGACUCCUACGGGAGGCAGCAGUGGGGAAUAUUGCACAAUGGGCGAAAGCCUGAUGCAGCGACGCCGCGUGAGGGAUGACGGCCUUCGGGUUGUAAACCUCUUUCAGCAGGGAAGAAGCGAAAGUGACGGUACCUGCAGAAGAAGCGCCGGCUAACUACGUGCCAGCAGCCGCGGUAAUACGUAGGGCGCAAGCGUUGUCCGGAAUUAUUGGGCGUAAAGAGCUCGUAGGCGGCUUGUCACGUCGGUUGUGAAAGCCCGGGGCUUAACCCCGGGUCUGCAGUCGAUACGGGCAGGCUAGAGUGUGGUAGGGGAGAUCGGAAUUCCUGGUGUAGCGGUGAAAUGCGCAGAUAUCAGGAGGAACACCGGUGGCGAAGGCGGAUCUCUGGGCCAUUACUGACGCUGAGGAGCGAAA
RNAcentral lists this ribosomal RNA (720 nucleotides) under Streptomyces drozdowiczii. Its description in RNAcentral is "bacterial SSU rRNA". It matches the Rfam family "Bacterial small subunit ribosomal RNA", at positions 21 to 758 of the family's 1533-position model. The record is from RNAcentral. Lineage: Bacteria; Bacillati; Actinomycetota; Actinomycetes; Kitasatosporales; Streptomycetaceae.